Molecule: long non-coding RNA, 3539 nt
Organism: Ctenopharyngodon idella (grass carp)
Lineage: Eukaryota; Metazoa; Chordata; Actinopteri; Cypriniformes; Xenocyprididae
Exons: 3
Source: RefSeq, a predicted model, not a curated record
CACUUUGUAUGUUCGUCAGGUCUUCUUCAAUUUCAUUGGGUAGGUUCAGAGCCAUGGGUUGGAGUUUGACACUGAAAGAGACUGAAGACAGCCAAGCUUAUCUGAUGCAACCAUUACACUAAAAUGUAUUGUAAAUGUUUUCUCUUCGGAAACCUUCAACCUCGCAACUCUGAUUGUUGCUGGGUCGAAGUUGGAGGCAACAGAGGGACAGAAUGCUAUAAUAUCCUUCGACAUCGAUGAAGUGGAGAAAGCAGAUGAAGUGAAGAUUGCCUUUAAGCAAGACAACAAGGAAAAUGCUGUUGUUAUCGCGCAGCGCCCGUGGACCUAUGAUGAAACCCCUCCACCUGGAGUUUCACUGCUGGUUGAGGAAGGACGCGUGAAUAUAACCAUUCAACAUGUCAGCAUCUCCAGAAACUCUGGAGUCUAUAAAGCGCGAGCUUUCUUUGGAAAGAGCAUGUAUGAGGUGAAUGCUACGCUUGUCAUCAACAAACCACAGUCUUCCUCCAGUCCAGCGCCACCACACACCUCCACCCCAAAACCUCCCAGCUCAUCUGAGCCCCAAUGGCUGUAUGUUUUAAUUUCAGUCGUCGUCAUUAUCAUCAUCAUUAUCAUCAUCAUCAUCAUCAGGAGGGCAAGUAUUACUUCUAUUCAUGCUUUUAGUUGUGGAUAGGAGCAGCGCUGUGGCUCUAAUGAUCUGUUAAGCAGUAUAUAAUGUAAUAAGAUGUUAAUAUUAAAGUUAUUAUAAAGUGAUGCCCAGCAGAGAAUCAAUAUGCAUCUUUAUUUCUUAUAUACACAUUUGACCACAUAAGGCAUUUUUACAGUUUUUGAUGGUAAAAGUUACUUACAGCAUUUAAAAUAAAUGCUUAGAUUCUUUUCAGCAUUUUAGGGUUUUAUCGAUUAUCCUUUCCUAAAAUGCCAGUACACACAAUGGUGGUGCUGAAACGGAUUCCCAUCACAUGAUUGAUGCUUAUUUGAGCUUAAAUUUGUUAUUACACAUGAUAUUUGGUCUCAUACUUGUCACUGUGGUUGUGCUGAAAAGCAGGGUUCUUACAGACCUGGAAACCUGGGAAUCUUAAGAGUUCCAAAAGUGUGAUUUCCAGGCCUGAAACCUCAUGGAUAUUUAUAAAGUCUUCCUAUAGACACAAUACAUUUUAAUAGUUAUACUUAGUUCUAAAUUACUUCUCUAGCUAGCAAAACUGUGAUCAGAUCACCUGAAAUGGAUCUUAAUAACAAUUUAAACUGGGUCAAGGAGUUUGAGCAAGUCAGUGUUCUGUACAGAUUUUUGAUGGUGGUGAAUGUGUUCAUUUUUAUUGUCUACAAUUUUGUUCGCCAGAAGAUAUGAUCAACAACAGUAGCUGCGUUUACAUGGACCCUAAUAAUCGGAAUGUAACCAGACUUAUCAGUAGCUGUGUUCACAAAAAUCUUAUGGCUAUAAGUUAUUCCUGCAGACAUUCAGAAGCAACUCUUAAAUUCUACAGAGCAUUUACUACACAGAGCACAGCAGACAGGCAACGGCAGACUCUUGUAAUGUUUUUGCAGGCAUGCAUGUUUAUGUUCACCUGAUCACAUGAAACAGAUAAAAGUGUUUUGGUCCCUAUUUUCUCAUCUGAGCAAAACCAGACCUAUACAGCAUGAGCGUACACACAGAGUGGGUACAACAUGCAGUUGUCACUUAACCUGUGCUAUUUCUAUUUGAUUUGGCCCCUAAUGUAACUUAGUGAUAUUACAUAAUAUUUUUGAAAAGAAGCAGUUAAUUCUGUGCUCAUCAUCUGUCAUUUCCACCAUGUAAUCAAGCCACUCUUCUUUAAAGAAUAAUGACAUUUUAUUUCAUGUCUGUGUUUGCUUUCUUUGUUUGCUUUUGCUUGUGUUGAGCUGUUAGGCUCCAGUUUUGCCAACUAUUUUAAAUGGAAAGUAACUGUCUGCUUGAAAAGUUGCUAAAUUGGCAACACUCUUUGGUUCACGAUAUUUUCUUUCAAUGAAACCUGUAAAUGGCAAACACUGCAAUUAUUUCUCAUUUACUAGAUUACAAUAUAAUGUCUUUCCCCACACAUUGUGCAUCUGUCCUGUGUGCCAUUAUAUUUCUGUGCAGCCAAGACAUCAGAAGUAUUGUGUAUCUUAGAUGAAACAAUGCUGAAAUUUAUAAAUUAAGCUUUGACUUUAGCACCCAUUUAUUUGAAUUAAUUUCCUUAAUGUCUUGUAAUUGUGUUUUUUCCACUAAGCUCAGUUUUCUGUUGUUUUAUUUCCAGAUCCUGUGUUUUCAAAAAAGAGAACUAGAAAACCAGUGCAACGCUUGUGUAUCAGUCGCCAUGAACGGUUGUGAAUAAAAGGCUGAACCUCUUCUCACGGAUACCCAAGUGUCUUAAAGGGGUCAUAUAAUGCCACUUUUACAAGAUGUAAUAUAAGUCUCUGGUGUCCCCAGAGUGUGUCUGUGAAGUUUCAGCUCAAAAUACCCCACAGAUCAUUUAUUAUAGCUUCUUAAAUUUGUCACUUUUUGCGGGUGAGCAAAAACACACCGUUUUUGUGUGUGUCCCUUUAAAUGCAAAUGAGCUGCUGAUCCCAAGAAGAUGGCGGAGCUUCAAGACCUCAUGUUAGCAGCUCUGAUUACCUCAUGCAGACUCACUGAAAAUGUCAAACUGUUCAGCCUUUUAUGUUUAAACUGGAGUCAGGCAAUCAUUCAGUGUUUCUGAACGGGAAGAUCGUACAGAGUCAGGGAAUAUAUGCUGCAUUAAGAAAGAACAGUUAUAGUUUAGUUUAAUUACGGUUAUAACUUGUCAUGUUGCCAUCUUGCUUUUAUGACAUGUUACUGCAUUUGUGUAACAAACCGUAUUGCAAUAACAUGGCCUCACCCCUUUGUUGUGUGUUCUCGGGGGCAGGGUUUAUGUAAAUUUUAGGGUUAGUGAUGUCCCGGGAACACUGGAAGAAGCUUGUUGCAGUUAAAUAGCUAUUCUAACUAAUAAAUAAAAAAGGAAAUCACUUUAACUUUUGAAACGUAAGCUUUAAUCUAGGCAAACCAAACUAUCACUUUACUGUGAUAUGUUUUUGGUUUGGUUUUUCAUUCACUAAUAAAGAUUUUACUCUAGCAUUAGCUCCAGCUGUCGCACACUCACCUCUGACCCUUCUCUAUCGCCUCUCAUCUCAAAGUGCCUGUUGUGUUCUCAUUAAAUGCCAGUUUCAUCUUACAUGUAUUACAUAUGCCAGUAUUUUUUGUUUCUAUUUAUGCUAAACUUUCCCACUCACUCUGCUUGUUCGCUUUACUUGCACUUUAUUGGACUGGUCAAACUGUUAUUUUAGGCCCAUAUUAAAAAAAUCAAGACACUUUGUUUGGCCAAUUUUUAUUGUAGACGUUGUAGAUAAUGUUGAUGAAUUGUUCCAGAACUAUUUUUAGUCAUAAUCUACAUUAAUUCAAAAAUACUAUAUUUGUUUUAUGAUUGAUGUAACAAUUACAGGCAAUGAUUUGGCCUUUUUAUUCUAUUCUUGUUUAAAAUGUCCCUUAACUUUGCCAAAAUGUCUGUUGUCAAAUAAAGUUUGUUACAUUGUUA